GGCCUUCUAGCUCAGUGGUAGAGCGUGCCCCUCCUAUUUUCAGUCAACUGAGUGGAAAAGGGUUCAGGGUGAGGUCGUAGGUUCGAGCCCUACGUGGGUCG
Pseudohyphozyma bogoriensis is the source of this 101-nucleotide non-coding RNA. Lineage: Eukaryota; Fungi; Basidiomycota; Microbotryomycetes; Chrysozymaceae. The record is from the annotation of a GenBank genome assembly.